CCACCUGUCCUGUUCACCAAUGUCGAGAUCAUUAGCCAAAUCUCUCUUUCUACAGGAAUAUGACUCGUGAAGCCAACUAGGUCUGGAGAGUUCUGGGAAUUCUGAUGGUGUUAUUGCUUACCCACUAACAGGAAACCAAAUGUUUUGUUUUCAGGCUUGCAAUGAGUUGGCCGGGCUGUGAGCCCAAGGCCCGAAGGUGGCCAAACCAAGUCCUUGCACCCCCUCGAGGCCUGGCCUGUGGAAGAGGCAGAAUUAGGCUACGGCCCCACCUGACGCUUCCCCUAAUUGGCGUUCCUGACACAGACCCUGGGUCCAGAGAAUAUCAGCCGCAGCAUUAAAAGGGAAACACUGUGGAAAGAGUCAACAGUGGACCUGGAAGUGUGUUUAGGACAGGGAUUAGGACCAGCAGAGGGAGCCAGCAGACCAUGCUUGAAGAAACUGCUCUAAUAAUUGGAAUUUCCAUCUCCUACAUCGUCCUUGAUCAUCGUAGAUUAUCAUAAACUGUUUUCUCCCGACAGCUUCUAUGGCAGAUGAAGACACUAGGAAAGUACUAGUUUAACAAGUCAGAAGUAAAGCUGCGUUUCUGGAUAGAAAAUGCAAAUAGAGGUUUUUAUUUCAGCUUUAAAUUGGCCCAUGAUAGAGUUGAGGUGCCUUUCACCAACCAAAAAGAGACAGAUCUGUCUGCCCUAGCUGUGCUCGGUUCAUUUCAGCUGAGAAGUUUAAUUCUAGUCUCACCUUGCCUGGGUGGGCACAGAGUAUGGAACCCCUUUAAGAGAAUGGGGAAGUCCGCCUCUAGUUGUGGCUGUUGUUUGGCUCUGGAUUGUUUUCCUUGCUUGAGAGAGAGGGCAUGGUUGAAUGUGCAUUCAAAGGGAAUCUUGUCCAGUGAAGACAGUUGAGGUUGUCCUACGAAGGUACAGCGAGAGGCAAAUAGGAAAAUUAUUUGUUAAAAUAAUAAACAUGUUUUCACUCCGUAUUUUGAGGCAAAAGCUCAUGGGGGAUUAGAGAAUGUUCUCCCGACAAUGGGUGUCUGUCUGGAUAGAGUGUGAUGCCGUGUGGGAAGGAGUUGUUGUUCCGUGUGCCCAUGGCAUC
This 1089-nucleotide long non-coding RNA is filed under the name Ornithorhynchus anatinus (platypus). Its description in RNAcentral is "lncRNA (ENSOANG00000037539.1)". Lineage: Eukaryota; Metazoa; Chordata; Mammalia; Monotremata; Ornithorhynchidae. The record is from RNAcentral.